Molecule: ribosomal RNA, 441 nt
Filed under: uncultured Anaerolineaceae bacterium
Lineage: Bacteria; Bacillati; Chloroflexota; Anaerolineae; Anaerolineales; Anaerolineaceae
Description: bacterial SSU rRNA
Rfam family: Bacterial small subunit ribosomal RNA
Source: RNAcentral
CCUACGGGUGGCAGCAGUAGGGAAUAUUGGUUAAUGGGCGAAAGCCUGAACCAGCAACGCCGCGUGCACGAUGACGGCCUUCGGGUUGUAAAGUGCUUUUUGGAGGGAAGAGGAAGGACGGUACCUCCAGAAUAAGUCUCGGCUAACUACGUGCCAGCAGCCGCGGUAACACGUAGGAGACAAGCGUUAUUCGGAUUUACUGGGCGUAAAGCGCGUGCAGGCGGUCUGACAAGUUGGAUGUGAAAGCUCCUGGCUUAACUGGGAGAGGUCGUUCAAAACUAUCAGACUAGAGAGUGGUAGAGGAAGGCGGAAUUCCGGGUGUAGUGGUGAAAUGCGUAGAUAUCCGGAGGAACACCAGUGGCGAAAGCGGCCUUCUGGACCAAUUCUGACGCUCAGACGCGAAAGCUAGGGUAGCGAACGGGAUUAGAUACCCCUGUAGUC